Molecule: ribosomal RNA, 253 nt
Filed under: uncultured bacterium
Lineage: Bacteria
Description: partial 16S ribosomal RNA
Rfam family: Bacterial small subunit ribosomal RNA
Source: RNAcentral
UACGUAGGGUGCGAGCGUUGUCCGGAAUUAUUGGGCGUAAAGGGCUCGUAGGCGGUCUGUUGCGUCAGGAGUGAAAACUCGGGGCUUAACCCCGAGCCUGCUUCUGAUACGGGCAGACUAGAGGUAUGCAGGGGAGAACGGAAUUCUUGGUGUAGCGGUGAAAUGCGUAGAUAUCAAGAGGAACACCUGAGGUGAAGACGGGUUGCUGGGCUGACACUGACGCUGAGGCGCGAAAGCCAGGGGAGCAAACGGG